Molecule: ribosomal RNA, 580 nt
Filed under: uncultured bacterium
Lineage: Bacteria
Description: partial 16S ribosomal RNA
Rfam family: Bacterial small subunit ribosomal RNA
Source: RNAcentral
UGGGGAAUUUUGGACAAUGGGCGAAAGCCUGAUCCAGCAAUGCCGCGUGUGUGAAGAAGGCCUUCGGGUUGUAAAGCACUUUUGUCCGGAAAGAAAUCCUCUGGGUUAAUACCUCGGGGGGAUGACGGUACCGGAAGAAUAAGCACCGGCUAACUACGUGCCAGCAGCCGCGGUAAUACGUAGGGUGCAAGCGUUAAUCGGAAUUACUGGGCGUAAAGCGUGCGCAGGCGGUUUUGUAAGACGGAUGUGAAAUCCCCGGGCUUAACCUGGGAACUGCAUUCGUGACUGCAAGGCUAGAGUAUGGCAGAGGGGGGUUAGAAUUCCACGUGUAGCAGUGAAAUGCGUAGAGAUGUGGAGGAAUACCGAUGGCGAAGGCAGCCCCCUGGGCCAAUACUGACGCUCAUGCACGAAAGCGUGGGGAGCAAACAGGAUUAGAUACCCUGGUAGUCCACGCCCUAAACGAUGUCAACUAGUUGUUGGGGAUUCAUUUCCUUAGUAACGUAGCUAACGCGUGAAGUUGACCGCCUGGGGAGUACGGUCGCAAGAUUAAAACUUAAAUGAAUUGACGGGGUCAUAGCUG